CUUCUGAGGAGGCUGGAAAGAUGACCAGCUUCUCCUAAAUAAUUAUUUCCAAGAGACCUGGAAGGACUUAGCUGAAUAUCUGACAUUUACCAGCAUCAGUAACCCACAUGAGGGACAUCCACAAUCCUGAAAAUCUCUCAAAUCAUGUGCCACAACACCUCAACAGCAGAAGUUUCAAACCAUCAAACUCAGUCUAAGCGCCAUUCCCGCAUCCGCGCUUGCGACCGCUCGCACCCCGCUCAUGUUUGCGGCCGAAUGCAAAUGAUCAUAAUUGAUGGACAACUAUGCUCGUGACAAGAUAUCAGCAAUCCAGCGCCGAGAGAAGAA
This is a long non-coding RNA of Sinocyclocheilus rhinocerous, 327 nucleotides long. RefSeq lists it as uncharacterized. The record is from RefSeq and is a predicted model, not a curated record. Lineage: Eukaryota; Metazoa; Chordata; Actinopteri; Cypriniformes; Cyprinidae. The transcript is spliced from 3 exons.